AACGCGUGGGUAACCUGCCUCAUACAGGGGGAUAACAGCUAGAAAUGACUGCUAAUACCGCAUAAGACCACGGAGCCGCAUGGCUCCGUGGGAAAAACUCCGGUGGUAUGAGAUGGACCCGCGUCUGAUUAGGUAGUUGGUGGGGUAACGGCCUACCAAGCCAACGAUCAGUAGCCGACCUGAGAGGGUGACCGGCCACAUUGGGACUGAGACACGGCCCAAACUCCUACGGGAGGCAGCAGUGGGGAAUAUUGCACAAUGGGGGAAACCCUGAUGCAGCGACGCCGCGUGAGCGAAGAAGUAUUUCGGUAUGUAAAGCUCUAUCAGCAGGGAAGAAAAUGACGGUACCUGACUAAGAAGCACCGGCUAAAUACGUGCCAGCAGCCGCGGUAAUACGUAUGGUGCAAGCGUUAUCCGGAUUUACUGGGUGUAAAGGGAGCGUAGACGGCUGUGUAAGUCUGAAGUGAAAGCCCGGGGCUCAACCCCGGGACUGCUUUGGAAACUAUGCAGCUAGAGUGUCGGAGAGGUAAGUGGAGUUCCCAGUGUAGCGGUGAAAUGCGUAGAUAUUGGGAGGAACACCAGUGGCGAAGGCGGCUUACUGGACGAUGACUGACGUUGAGGCUC
RNAcentral lists this ribosomal RNA (624 nucleotides) under uncultured bacterium. RNAcentral describes it as "bacterial SSU rRNA". It matches the Rfam family "Bacterial small subunit ribosomal RNA", at positions 112 to 754 of the family's 1533-position model. The record is from RNAcentral.